UGAGCAAUGUGCCCUUGACUCUGGGAUAAGCGCUGGAAACGGCGUCUAAUACCGGAUACGACGAUCGGAGGCAUCUCCUGGUCGUGGAAAGAACUUCGGUCAAGGAUCAGCUCACGGCCUAUCAGUUAGUUGGUGAGGUAAUGGCUCACCAAGACGACGACGGGUAGCCGGCCUGAGAGGGUGACCGGCCACACUGGGACUGAGACACGGCCCAGACUCCGUAGGAGG
Molecule: ribosomal RNA, 228 nt
Filed under: uncultured bacterium
Lineage: Bacteria
Description: partial 16S ribosomal RNA
Rfam family: Bacterial small subunit ribosomal RNA
Source: RNAcentral